RNAcentral lists this ribosomal RNA (484 nucleotides) under uncultured bacterium. Its description in RNAcentral is "partial 16S ribosomal RNA". It matches the Rfam family "Bacterial small subunit ribosomal RNA", at positions 30 to 507 of the family's 1533-position model. The record is from RNAcentral.
AUUGAACGCUGGCGGCAGGCCUGACACAUGCAAGUCGAGCGGAUGAAGGGAGCUUGCUCCUGGAUUCAGCGGCGGACGGGUGAGUAAUGCCUAGGAAUCUGCCUGGUAGAGGGGGAUAACGUCCGGAAACGGGCGCUAAUACCGCAUACGUCCUGAGGGAGAAAGUGGGGGAUCUUCGGACCUCACGCUAUCAGAUGAGCCUAGGUCGGAUUAGCUAGUUGGUGGGGUAAAGGCCUACCAAGGCGACGAUCCGUAACUGGUCUGAGAGGAUGAUCAGUCACACUGGAACUGAGACACGGUCCAGACUCCUAAGGGAGGCAGCAGUGGGGAAUAUUGGACAAUGGGCGAAAGCCUGAUCCAGCCAUGCCGCGUGUGUGAAGAAGGUCUUCGGAUUGUAAAGCACUUUAAGUUGGGAGGAAGGGCAGUAAGUUAAUACCUUGCUGUUUUGACGUUACCAACAGAAUAAGCACCGGCUAACUUCGUG